Molecule: small RNA, 776 nt
Filed under: Pongo abelii (Sumatran orangutan)
Lineage: Eukaryota; Metazoa; Chordata; Mammalia; Primates; Hominidae
Description: processed transcript
Source: RNAcentral
GGACAACCUGCAUUGGACCCAGCUAUUGCUGCAGCAUUUGCCAAGGAGACAUCCCUCUUAGGGCUUCCUGUUGCAGCUGUUCCAGGAGCUCUGAGUCCUUUGGCUAUUCCAAAUGCUGCUGCAGCAGCUGCUGCAGCUGCUGCUGGCCGAGUGGGUAUGCCUGGAGUCUCAGCUGGUGGCAAUACAGUCCUGUUGGUUAGCAAUUUAAAUGAAGAGGUGUUUAUGGAGAUGUGCAGCGUGUGAAGAUUUUGUACAAUAAGAAAGACAGCGCUCUAAUACAGAUGGCUGAUGGAAACCAAUCACAACUUGCCAUGAAUCAUCUUAAUGGACAGAAAAUGUAUGGAAAAAUUAUUCGUGUUACUCUGUCUAAACAUCAGACUGUACAGCUACCUCGAGAGGGACUUGAUGAUCAAGGGCUAACAAAAGAUUUUGGUAAUUCCCCAUUGCAUCGUUUUAAGAAACCUGGAUCCAAAAAUUUUCAAAACAUUUUUCCUCCUUCUGCCACUCUUCACCUAUCUAAUAUCCCUCCAUCAGUAGCAGAAGAGGAUCUACGAACACUGUUCGCUAACACUGGGGGCACUGUGAAAGCAUUUAAGUUUUUUCAAGAUCACAAAAUGGCUCUUCUUCAGAUGGCAACAGUAGAAGAAGCUAUUCAGGCCUUGAUUGAUCUUCAUAAUUAUAACCUUGGAGAAAACCAUCAUCUGAGAGUGUCUUUCUCCAAGUCAACAAUUUAAAAAUGGGAAGAUGAAGAUUGGGGGUGAAUCACAUUGUUCAAU